RNAcentral lists this ribosomal RNA (500 nucleotides) under uncultured Glomeromycotina. RNAcentral's name for it is "partial small subunit ribosomal RNA". It matches the Rfam family "Eukaryotic small subunit ribosomal RNA", at positions 591 to 1092 of the family's 1831-position model. Lineage: Eukaryota; Fungi; Glomeromycota. The record is from RNAcentral.
CCAAUAGCGUAUAUUAAAGUUGUUGCAGUUAAAAAGCUCGUAGUUGAAUUUCGGGGUCAGUAGGUUGGUCAUGCCACUGGUAUGUACUGAUCUUACUGAUUCCUCCUUCCUGAUGAACCGUAAUGCCAUUAAUUUGGUGUUGCGGGGAGACUGGACUGUUACUUUGAAAAAAUUAGAGUGUUUAAAGCAGGCUAACGCUUGAAUACAUUAGCAUGGAAUAAUGAAAUAGGACGUUCGAUCCUAUUUUGUUGGUUUCUAGGAUUGACGUAAUGAUUAAUAGGGAUAGUUGGGGGCAUUAGUAUUCAAUUGUCAGAGGUGAAAUUCUUGGAUUUAUUGAAGACUAACUACUGCGAAAGCAUUUGCCAAGGAUGUUUUCAUUAAUCAAGAACGAAAGUUAGGGGAUCGAAGACGAUCAGAUACCGUCGUAGUCUUAACCAUAAACUAUGCCGACUAGGGAUCGGAUGAUGUUAAUUUUUUAAUGACUCAUUCGGCGCCUUACG